Molecule: ribosomal RNA, 339 nt
Filed under: Brachybacterium tyrofermentans
Lineage: Bacteria; Bacillati; Actinomycetota; Actinomycetes; Micrococcales; Dermabacteraceae
Description: bacterial SSU rRNA
Rfam family: Bacterial small subunit ribosomal RNA
Source: RNAcentral
AACCGUGGCGCGUGCUUACCAUGCAAGUCGAACGAUGACCACCGGGCUUGCCUGGUCUGAUUAGUGGCGAACGGGUGAGUAACACGUGAGUAACCUGCCCCUCACUUCGGGAUAACCUCGGGAAAUCGGGGCUAAUACCGGAUAUUAACUUCCUUCGCCUGGGGAUUGUUGGAAAGUUUUUCUUUGAGGGAUGGACUCACGGCCUAUCACUUUGUUGGUGAGGUGAUGGGCCCCCACAACGAUGCCAGGUAGCCCGGCCCUGAGGGGCUGACAGGACACUGUGACUGCGACUCGGCCCGGACUCCGAUGGGAGGCGGAAGUGGGGUAUGUAGCACAAUG